Molecule: ribosomal RNA, 1501 nt
Filed under: human gut metagenome
Description: bacterial LSU rRNA
Rfam family: Bacterial large subunit ribosomal RNA
Source: RNAcentral
CAGCGAGAGAGCCGUGAAGGUAGAGCACUGAAUAUGCGAUGGCCGCAUCCCGCGGUACUGAGCAUAAUCAAACUCCGAAUGUCACGGUGUCAUCUGCGGCAGUCAGACGGCGAGUGAUAAGGUCCGUCGUCAAGAGGGAAACAGCCCAGACCAUCAGCUAAGGUCCCAAAGUGCAUGCUAAGUGGAAAAGGAAGUGGAGACGUGCAGACAACUAGGAGGUUGGCUCAGAAGCAGCCAUCCUUCAAAGAGUGCGUAACAGCUCACUAGUCGAAUGACUCUGCGCCGAUAAUUUACCGGGGCUAAGCAUGACACCGAAGCUAUGGACAGGAAUGUGGUAGGGGAGCAUUGCAUGCAGCGGAGAAGCAUGACCGGGAGGGCAUGUGGAGCGCAUGGAAGAGAGAAUGCCGGCGUGAGUAGCGGCACGUGGGUGAGAAUCCCACGCACCGAUGGCCCAAGGUCUCCAGAGGAAGGCUCGUCCUCUCUGGGAUAGUCGGGACCUAAGGCGAGGCCGAAAGGCGUAGCCGAUGGACGACGGGUGGAUAUUCCCGUACCCGAUGUGUGGCGAUGGAGUGACGGAGAAGGCUCAGGCAACCAGCUGCUGGAAUAGCUGGGGCAAGCGAGAUACCUGCGCACCAGGGAAAUCCGGUGCGCAUAAGGGGAAGGCGCGAUGCAUACGGAAAGCUUCGGCAAGUACGGAAAAGCUGAGAGCAGGCUUCCAGGAAAAGCUUCUAGCACAACACACAUCGGCCCGUACCGAAAAUGGACACACAUGGGCAAGGAGAGAAUCCUGAGGUGAGCGAGAGAACUAUAGCUAAGGAACUCUGCAAAAUGACCCCGUAACUUAGGGAGAAGGGGUGCUCCAGAAAUGGAGCCGCAGUAAAACGGCCCAAGCGACUGUUUACCAAAAACACAGCUCUCUGCGAAGGCGCAAGCCGAAGUAUAGGGGGUGACGCCUGCCCGGUGCUGGAAGGUCAAGGGGAGCUGUCAGCGCAAGCGAAGCAGCGAGCCGAAGCCCCAGUAAACGGCGGCCGUAACUAUAACGGUCCUAAGGUAGCGAAAUUCCUUGUCGGGCAAGUUCCGACCCGCACGAAAGGCGUAACGAUUUGGGCGCUGUCUCAGCUGUAGACUCGGUGAAGUCUUAGUACCUGUGAAGAUGCAGGUUGCCCGCGACUAGACGGAAAGACCCCAUGGAGCUUCACUGCAGGUUGACAUUGGGCUUGGAUGCAUGAUGUACAGGAUAGGUGGGAGGCUGUGAGCCGUGCGCGCCAGCGUACGGGGAGCCGCUGUUGGGAUACCACCCUUCAUGCAUCUAGGUCCUAACCGGAGGCAACGGGCCACGGGACAGUGUCAGUCGGGCAGUUUGACUGGGGCGGUCGCCUCCCAAAGAGUAACGGAGGCGCCCAAAGAUACCCUCAGCAUGGAUGGAAACCAUGCAUAGAGUGCAAAGGCAUAAGGGUGUCUGACUGCGAGACAUACAGGUCGAGCAGGGACGAAAGUCGGG